Molecule: unclassified non-coding RNA, 419 nt
Filed under: Melanoseris lessertiana
Lineage: Eukaryota; Viridiplantae; Streptophyta; Magnoliopsida; Asterales; Asteraceae
Description: contains 3' external transcribed spacer, ETS
Source: RNAcentral
UGGUUUUUGGUUUGUAACGGGUGGUUGGAUGUCUGCUUGCGCAGCAACUUCUAUGCGUUCUUACCUCUUCAGUUGUGUUACACGGCGAUUUUGCCUUGAACAUAUGUGGGUUCCUGUGUUGCAUACCUAAUCGAUGGCAUUGUGUUGCUUGAACAAAGUUCCCUUUCAUAAAGCGUCGCUUGCGGCGCCAAUGAACCUCGAAGUGGUCUUUGUUGUCCAUCCCAUCGUUGUUGAUGCAAUGAUGGAAUGGCCCCUAUGAAGUGUCGCUUGGUCUCUUGGAUAUGGAACCUGGUUUGGGCAUGUGGUCAGUUAUGAUCAAUUUUGCCCUACAUGAGCGUUUUGCUUUUCUAAACGACUGUCUUUCUUGCAUUAACUUGUUGGUGCAGGGUAGGCUAUGUCGAAGAGGAAUGCUACCUGGU